Molecule: ribosomal RNA, 509 nt
Filed under: uncultured bacterium
Lineage: Bacteria
Description: partial 16S ribosomal RNA
Rfam family: Bacterial small subunit ribosomal RNA
Source: RNAcentral
GACGAACGCUGGCGGCGUGCUUAACACAUGCAAGUCGAACGAAGAGCGACGGAAGCUUGCUUCUAUCAAUCUUAGUGGCGAACGGGUGAGUAACGCGUAAUCAACCUGCCCUUCAGAGGGGGACAACAGUUGGAAACGACUGCUAAUACCGCAUACGAUCUAAUCUCGGCAUCGAGGAUGGAUGAAAGGUGGCCUCUACAUGUAAGCUAUCACUGAAGGAGGGGAUUGCGUCUGAUUAGCUAGUUGGAGGGGUAACGGCCCACCAAGGCGAUGAUCAGUAGCCGGUUUGGGGGAAUGACCGCCCAAUUGGGACCGGGAAACGGCCCAAGCCUCCAACGGGAGGAAGAAGGGGGGAACCUUCGGAAUUGAAGGAAGGUCGGCGGAGCAACGCCGCGUGAGUGAUGACGGCCUUCGGGUUGUAAAGCUCUGUUAAUCGGGACGAAAGGCCUUCUUGCGAAUAGUGAGAAGGAUUGACGGUACCGGAAUAGAAAGCCACGGCUAACUACGUG